RNA transcript from Melanaphis sacchari, 1639 nucleotides. It is a transcript of the gene named heterogeneous nuclear ribonucleoprotein 87F-like, with no coding region annotated. The transcript has 11 exons. Lineage: Eukaryota; Metazoa; Arthropoda; Insecta; Hemiptera; Aphididae. The record is from RefSeq and is a predicted model, not a curated record.
ACAGACGCCUAUGUUACGACUACGAGUUAUUGACUCGUUUACUGCACUAGAUUACUGUAAUACUGUUUGUCGUGUGUUUGACUUAACAUUUUUGUUUGUGAAUUUCAGUCUCAAUAAUUUAAAUUAUUUAACGUUUGAUUAAGAUUUGUUGACUAUAUUAUCGUUUUAUUCACAUCACAUUUCCUAAUUUUGUUUGUAUCACGAGCUUCCUCAUCAAACAUGGGAUCUGACGAACCAGAACAAUACAGAAAAUUAUUCAUCGGUGGUUUAAACUACACUACAACUAAUGAUUCACUUAAAGAAUUUUUUGAGCAAUGGGGAGAAAUUGUUGAUGUUGUUGUCAUGAAAGACCCUCAAACCAAAAGAUCUCGAGGAUUUGGAUUUAUUACUUAUUCUCAAUCGUCUAUGGUUGAUCAAGCCAUGUCAAAUAGACCUCAUAAAAUAGAUGGUCGUGAAGUAGAAACCAAGCGAGCUGUUCCUCGUGACGAUAUUGAUAAACCAGACAUAGCAGCUACUGUAAAAAAAAUGUUUGUUUCUGGUAUAAAAGAACAAUCAGAAAAUGAUCUUCAUGAAUAUUUCGGAAAAUUUGGCAAUAUCACUAAUGUAACUAUAGUAACUGAUAAAGAUUCUGGUCAAAGAAAGGGAUUUGGAUUUAUUGAGUAUGAUGAUACCGAUUCAGUUGAUAAAGCUGUUUUGAUCAAAAGUCACCAAGUUGCUGGAGGAAAAUUGGAUGUGAAGAAAGCCAUCAGUCGUAGUGAUGGUGGUGGUGGUGGCCGUGGUGGAAGAGGCGGUCGUGGUGGUGGUGGAGGAGGCGGUGGUAAUAGAAGCAGCUGGGGUGGAAAUCAUCCACGAAAUGACCAAUGGGGAGGACACCAUAACAGAUCCAAUGGUGGCGGCGGAGGAUAUGGAAAUUCUGGAAUGGGAGGAGGAUAUGGCUCUGGCGGUGGUGGUGGUGGAUAUGGAGGUAGUGCAGGUGGUUACAACUCAAAUUCUGGUGGAGCUUGGCAAGGUGGUGGCGGUGCUCCUCAAAGUUGGGGUAACAAUAAUCCAGCAUGGGGCAACCAAGGAGGAGGUGGCGAUAGUUGGGGAGGUUCACAACAACCUAGUAACAACUGGGGUCCAAAUCAAAGUUAUGGUGGUGGUGGUGGCCCAAUGAGGUCAAAUUAUACCUCUAAUAAUCGUGCUACACCUUAUGGAAACCCAGGUAGAGCUGGUAAUGUAAAUGCUGGUAAUGCUGGUUACGGUCAAAAUCCUGGUCGGCGGUACUAAUGCAUAACUUUCAUCUAAAGGAUGGAAGAUGACUGUCAACUGAUGUACAUUCACCAUGAAUUAAUAUUUAUGAUAUGGAUCCUGUCACUGAAAGAAAAUUUAUUAAGUAUAUACCAUACACAAACAGGAAAAUCAGUUGAUCCGCUGAAAUAAAUUUUGAUAACACAAAAAAAUAUAAAUGUUUACAGUACUGGAAAAGAUCUUGUCACAGAGCUGUAUUGGCAAUUAUGCAUAGAGCAAGUUCAGACACUUUAAAAUAUUUUUCAGGCUGGCGGUGUUCGAAAAUUACUACGAAAUGGAGAUAACAUUUUUAUAAAGCGUAGAAUUUAACUUGUAUUUAAUUAUGAAAAAUAUAAUCUUUUUUAAUAUA